UGGGGAAUAUUGCACAAUGGGCGCAAGCCUGAUGCAGCCAUGCCGCGUGUAUGAAGAAGGCCUUCGGGUUGUAAAGUACUUUCAGUCGGGAGGAAGGUGGUAAGGUUAAUAACCUUAUCAAUUGACGUUACCGACAGAAGAAGCACCGGCUAACUCCGUGCCAGCAGCCGCGGUAAUACGGAGGGUGCAAGCGUUAAUCGGAAUUACUGGGCGUAAAGCGCACGCAGGCGGUUGAUUGAGUCAGAUGUGAAAUCCCCGGGCUUAACCCGGGAAUUGCAUCUGAUACUGGUCAGCUAGAGUCUUGUAGAGGGGGGUAGAAUUCCAUGUGUAGCGGUGAGAUGCGUAGAGAUGUGGAGGAAUACCGGUGGCGAAGGCGGCCCCCUGGACAAAGACUGACGCUCAGGUGCGAAAGCGUGGGGAGCAAACAGG
This 429-nucleotide ribosomal RNA is filed under the name Chloroflexota bacterium. RNAcentral's name for it is "Chloroflexi bacterium partial 16S ribosomal RNA". It matches the Rfam family "Bacterial small subunit ribosomal RNA", at positions 355 to 776 of the family's 1533-position model. The record is from RNAcentral. Lineage: Bacteria; Bacillati; Chloroflexota.